CCUACGGGAGGCAGCAGUGGGGAAUAUUGCGCAAUGGGCGAAAGCCUGAUGCAGCGACGCCGCGUGAGGGAUGAAGGUCUUCGGAUCGUAAACCACUGUCAGCAGGGAAGAACGGUCUCUGUGCUAUUCAGCAGUGCAUUGACGGUACCUGCAAAGGAAGCACCGGCUAACUCCGUGCCAGCAGCCGCGGUAAUACGGAGGGUGCGAGCGUUAAUCGGAAUUACUGGGCGUAAAGCGCUCGUAGGCGGUAUGUCAAGUCAAGGGUGAAAUCCCCGCGCUCAACGUGGGAACUGCCUUUGAAACUGGCAAACUGGAGUGUGUGAGAGGAUAGUGGAAUUCCAGGUGUAGGAGUGAAAUCCGUAGAGAUCUGGAGGAACAUCAGUGGCGAAGGCGACUAUCUGGAACAUAACUGACGCUGAGGAGCGAAAGCGUGGGUAGCAAACAGGAUUAGAUACCCCUGUAGUC
Molecule: ribosomal RNA, 465 nt
Filed under: uncultured bacterium
Lineage: Bacteria
Description: partial 16S ribosomal RNA
Rfam family: Bacterial small subunit ribosomal RNA
Source: RNAcentral